Molecule: ribosomal RNA, 204 nt
Filed under: uncultured bacterium
Lineage: Bacteria
Description: partial 16S ribosomal RNA
Rfam family: Bacterial small subunit ribosomal RNA
Source: RNAcentral
CGCAGGCGGUUUCAUAAGUCAGGUGUGAAAGCCCGGGGCUCAACCCCGGAAGUGCACUUGAAACUAUGGGACUUGAGUAUGGGAGAGGGAAGUGGAUUCCUGGUGUAGCGGUGAAAUGCGUAGAUAUCAGGAGGAACAUCGGUGGCGAAGGCGACUUCCUGGACCAACACUGACGCUGAGGCGCGAAGGCGUGGGGAGCAAACA